RNAcentral lists this non-coding RNA (30 nucleotides) under Mus musculus (house mouse). Lineage: Eukaryota; Metazoa; Chordata; Mammalia; Rodentia; Muridae. The record is from RNAcentral.
UCAUAUGCCUACUGCUGAAAUAGCCUUUGC